Molecule: ribosomal RNA, 300 nt
Filed under: uncultured Pyrobaculum sp.
Lineage: Archaea; Thermoproteati; Thermoproteota; Thermoprotei; Thermoproteales; Thermoproteaceae
Description: bacterial SSU rRNA
Rfam family: Bacterial small subunit ribosomal RNA (bases 52-300)
Source: RNAcentral
GGUAAGAAGGGGCCGGGGGCCUCGGUUAUAGUGAGGGGUGAAGCGUGUAGUGGGAUGAGUGGGCGUAAGGGUGGCGCAGGCGGUUUCGUAAGUCUGGCGUGAAAGCCCCGGGCUUAAGCGGGGAGUGGCGAUGGAGACUGCGAGGCUAGAGUUUGGCAGAGGGGGGUAGAAUUCCACGUGUAGCAGUGAAAUGCGUAGAGAUGUGGAGGAACACCGAUGGCGAAGGCAGCCCCCUGGGUCAAAACUGACGCUCAUGCACGAAAGCGUGGGGAGCAAACAGGAUUAGAUACCUGAGUAGUC